CAUUCGCUGCCUAUAAGCGCUACGGAUUUGACAAAAUUCACCGUAGAGUGCUUCGCACCCUUAGAUCGACAUAGAUAUGACGGAAUCACACUGAAGGGAGCCAUAAAAUAGCAAAACAAGCACCAAGCUUCAACACAGAUCGUCUUCUUCUCAUGCGUACCUUUGCAUGUAGCACCAGCCUCUCCUCUGCCUUUUUCUUUUUCUUUUUCUUCUUCUUUCUCUCCUCUCUCGAUUACU
RNAcentral lists this long non-coding RNA (237 nucleotides) under Carica papaya (papaya). RNAcentral's name for it is "long non-coding RNA (CPAP_LNC004086)". Lineage: Eukaryota; Viridiplantae; Streptophyta; Magnoliopsida; Brassicales; Caricaceae. The record is from RNAcentral.